CGGGUGGCUUUGUACUGUCGUGAUUUUAUGCCUGCAAUUGCGGAGGCUUUGGUUAAGGCUUGAGAGCAGUCAGGAGCUGGCUGCUGGAAGUGCCUGCCAGCGCUGCGGGAAUGGGCUGUGCACAUCGUGUGUGCGUGCCUUUCCUCUCUCUUUUUUUUUUUUUCUUUCAUUUUGUUUCAUUGCAGUCAGGUCCUGGGUCACCUUCUGAUGUGAUGUGGUCCAACGAGUCAGAAUGAGAAAUACUGCUACAUGCAGUGAAAUGAUGGGGCAGAAACCCUUUUCUUGCUACAUAACACACCAUAUAUGAUGCCAUUAAAUGUUACACAUAUGCUGUGUUUCACAGAGAAAGUCUGAAGUUUUAUUGGUGAUAUUUCAUGGAGGAAGGGGCUGUCCAAAGGUCCUACAAAUAAAUGUCUUUCAGAAAAAAGCAGAGAGUCUCUUCCAACGCUUUUUGAGAAAAAUGUGCAGGAAGCCAUUGACGAUUAUACUUGUGAAACAGUUUCAUCACUUUCUAGUGGUCAUACAACACCUACAGACUUGAAAAAUUCUUGGUCUGGAAUAAACAGCUAUACUACUGGUUUGUCUACA
This is a long non-coding RNA of Apteryx rowi (Okarito brown kiwi), 588 nucleotides long. Lineage: Eukaryota; Metazoa; Chordata; Aves; Apterygiformes; Apterygidae. The record is from Ensembl.